ACAUCGGCAAGUUGGUUCAGGUCUUACCAGACGCUAUGCUCAGCCCCCUGGAGAAGAUGAUUAGAUCCGAAAAGAUAAAGUGGGUAAUAGUAGAUGUAUCCAUGAGCUGGGCACUAGAACUGGCUACCACAAUGGGUGUCCGUAUUGCCUUGUUCUCAACUUACUCCGCAGCUAUCUUUGCACUCAGGAUGAACCUUCCUAAACUGAUAGAGGAUGGUAUUCUUGAUGAAACUGGUAAGGACAACUAAAUCACCUGCAACAAAGUAAUUUCUGUGUCACAUGCUUAUUUACUUCAUAUGGUUUAACCAGCCAAACACAUGCAAAAUAUGCAGGGAAUGUAAAGAAGCAUGAGAUGGUCCAACUGAUGCCACCUAUUGAUGCAGCCGAGAUCCCUUGGGUCAGCCUUGGCAGCACCCAAGAAAGACGGAGAUAUAACAUCCAAAAUGUCUUUAAGACCAACCGACUAAUGGCACUUGCUGAAAUGAUCAUCUGCAACACUUUCAGGGAGAUAGAAUCCGAAGCAUUGGAACUCCUCUCAAAUGCACUGCCUGUCGGCCCACUUUUAGCACCUGCUUCGGGGCCAACAGGCCAUUUCUUGCCUGAAGACAUGACUUGCCUCACCUGGCUCGACACACAGGCCCCCGGCUCCGUUAUCUAUGUGGCCUUUGGGAGCUCCACCAUCUUUGACAUAGCUCAGUUCCAUGAGCUUGCUAACGGGCUUGCCGUCUCUGACCAACCAUUUCUGUGGGUUGUCCGACCUAACUUUACCAAUGGAAUCCAAGAAGAUUGGUUCAAUGAAUAUAAAGACCGUAUCAAGGGCAAGGGGUUGGUUAUUAGCUGGGCUCCCCAGCAACGAGUACUAUCACACCCUUCAAUCGCUUGCUUCAUGUCGCACUGUGGGUGGAACUCAACAAUGGAAGGUGUACUGCACGGUGUCCCGUUCUUAUGCUGGCCUUAUUUUUCCGACCAAUUCUGCAACCAGAGCUACAUAUGCAAUGUGUGGAAGACAGGCAUUAAGCUUUUCCGAGACAAGCAAGGGGUUGUCACACAGGAGGAGAUCAAGAACAAGGCGGCGCAGCUCCUAGAAGACAAGGAGAUCAAAGAAAGAGCGGUGACACUGAAGACCACGGCCCGUGCAAGCAUCCAAGAGGGAGGGUCCUCGCACCAGAACUUUCUCGAGCUUGUCAAUUUGCUGAGAGAACAAUGAUCUUUCAGGAUGCAGAAAAAAUCACUGCAGUCUUGGUGCAGUCAAAAUAGGAUUAAUCGGUCAAUAAAAUAAACCGAAUGCACACCAUAAUAAAGAUUCCGUUGUUUGAUGUACACUGUUGUUUAUGAGCCUAUCGUUCAACAUAGAAAGUAGUAUUGGAUUAUGAGCUGUUUAGUACCAUCAUCAGAAUGGGCUAGCGACCACUGGAAGCAUAAAAUUGACUCUAUUAAGCGGGGUUCCCAAUCCCUCCGAAGUGGCAGGAGAAAAUCACAAGGGGCAAAUGCGAGUUUGGUAAUAAAACAGGGCACUACGCAUUCCGUCGACAAAGGGUUUGCCGAUGCACUAGAGGUGUUCGACGGAAUGCCCAACGGCGGACUCCGGCGACGGAACGCAGCACACACCACACAGAAACUGUCCCCGAUGGCCGCCCUACCGUAAGAAAAAAACGAGCGCGAAGCGGGAGCUCACCAAGAUAUCCUUGCCGUUCUCGCGACCGCGCGGCGGCUCCACCCGCGGCGCGACCGAUAUGCCCCCCCGCCCGCGCGCGGCACGGGGUUUGAGCGAGGCG
This 1775-nucleotide long non-coding RNA is filed under the name Oryza sativa (Asian cultivated rice). Its description in RNAcentral is "long non-coding RNA (OSAT_LNC000645)". The record is from RNAcentral. Lineage: Eukaryota; Viridiplantae; Streptophyta; Magnoliopsida; Poales; Poaceae.